AGAGUUUGAUCCUGGCUCAGAACGAACGCUGGCGGCAGGCUUAACACAUGCAAGUCGAACGAUGGUUCUUUCUUCGGAGGGAUCCAUAGUGGCGCACGGGUGAGUAACGCGUGGGAACCUGUCCUGUGGUUUGGGAUACCUCCGGGAAACUGGAGUUAAUACCGAAUGUCUCCUGAGGGAGAAAGAUUUAUCGCCAUAGGGUGGGCCCGCGUCCGAUUAGCUAGUUGGUGGGGUAAAGGCCUACCAAGGCAUCGAUCGGUAGCUGGUCUGAGAGGAUGAUCAGCCACACUGGGACUGAGACACGGCCCAGACUCCUACGGGAGGCAGCAGUGGGGAAUAUUGGACAAUGGGCGCAAGCCUGAUCCAGCCAUGCCGCGUGAGUGAUGAACGCCUUCGGGUUGUAAAGCUCUUUCGACGGGGACGAUGAUGACGGUACCCGUAGAAGAAGCCCCGGCUAACUUCGUGCCAGCAGCCGCGGUAAUACGAAGGGGGCGAGCGUUGUUCGGAGUUACUGGGCGUAAAGGGCGCGUAGGCGGCGUACCAAGUCUGGCGUGAAAGCACUGGGCUUAACCCAGGAACUGCGUCUGAGACUGGUAUGCUGGGAGUGCAGGAGAUGUCGGCGGAAUACCCAGUGUAGACGUGAAUUGCGUACCUGAUUGGGAAAGAACACCCUGGUGGCGUUAAGGCCGGUCGGACUUGG
RNAcentral lists this ribosomal RNA (700 nucleotides) under uncultured bacterium. RNAcentral's name for it is "bacterial SSU rRNA". It matches the Rfam family "Bacterial small subunit ribosomal RNA", at positions 8 to 737 of the family's 1533-position model. The record is from RNAcentral.